UCGAGAGUUUGAUCCUGGCUCAGGAUGAACGCUAGCGGCAGGCUUAACACAUGCAAGUCGAGGGGUAUAGUUCUUCGGAGCUAGAGACCGGCGCACGGGUGCGUAACGCGUAUGCAAUCUACCUUUACAGAGGGAUAGCCCAGAGAAAUUUGGAUUAAUACCUCAUAGUAUGUGAGAAUCGCAUGGUUUUCACAUUAAAGUUCCAAUGGUAAAAGAUGAGCAUGCGUCCCAUUAGCUAGAUGGUAAGGUAACGGCUUACCAUGGCUACGAU
Molecule: ribosomal RNA, 271 nt
Filed under: uncultured Flavobacterium sp.
Lineage: Bacteria; Pseudomonadati; Bacteroidota; Flavobacteriia; Flavobacteriales; Flavobacteriaceae
Description: partial 16S ribosomal RNA
Rfam family: Bacterial small subunit ribosomal RNA
Source: RNAcentral